AUUGAACGCUGGCGGCAGGCCUAACACAUGCAAGUCGAACGAGUGGCGGACGGGUGAGUAAUGUCUGGGAAACUGCCUGAUGGAGGGGGAUAACUACUGGAAACGGUAGCUAAUACCGCAUACCAUCGGAUGUGCCCAGCUGGGAUUAGCUAGUUGGUGGGGUAAAGGCCUACCAAGGCGACGGUCCGUAACUGGUCUGAGAGGAUGAUCAGGUACAAUGGAACUGAGACACGGUCCAGACUCCUGCGGGAGGCAGCAGUGGGGAAUAGUGUGCAAUGGGGGAAAUCCUGAUCCAGCCAUGCCGCGUGUGUGAAGAAGGUCUUCGGAUUGGAAAGCACGUUAAGUUGGGAGGCGUUACCAACAGAAUAAGCACCGGCUAAAGUCGUGCCAGCAGCCGCGGUAAUUC
Molecule: ribosomal RNA, 406 nt
Filed under: uncultured bacterium
Lineage: Bacteria
Description: partial 16S ribosomal RNA
Rfam family: Bacterial small subunit ribosomal RNA
Source: RNAcentral